Molecule: long non-coding RNA, 1250 nt
Organism: Leopardus geoffroyi (Geoffroy's cat)
Lineage: Eukaryota; Metazoa; Chordata; Mammalia; Carnivora; Felidae
Exons: 3
Source: RefSeq, a predicted model, not a curated record
CUGUCCAAAGCCCAACCCCCGACCACCCCAGGACACAGCUGCCUGGCCAGAUCCCCUCCUGCCUGCAGGUGGCCUCCACAAUCCUCAGGGUCGGUGGGCAGCUUCCCACCUCUUUUCCAUCUGGAUGUGACACCCUCCAGGUCCCUGGUCUUCCAUGAGUUGCUGUUAGGUGUGCUGUUAGGUGGGUGGGGUGGUUCUAGAUAUGGCUUCUAAUUUCAAGCAGGGUCUAUGUUCAGAUCUCCUAAAUAAGUUCAAAUCUCGAUUCUGUUUGGAUUAGAGAAGGAAGCACAUGAAAAUGUGAGCAAGGAAGCCAACAAUAACCCAUCAUUUAAAUCCUGCUUCUCACACUUUGUCUUGGAAACAAAAGUGAUCCAAGGAAUUCAUGCCCAGUCUCCACCCAACAGAACCCUGCUGAGGCAUCGAUGGUCUUGCAGAUCCUCUCCAGCAGGGCCUUUCAGGCUAGUGUGGUUCCUCCACCAGAAAUGUGAAAUCUUCUGUCACCAUAUACAUUUGGGAAAUGCCAGGAGCAUCUCCUCGGGAUUCAGCCCCAAAAUGGAUGGGCAUGCACACUGGGCAGGACCCAGCAGCGGAAGCUGAGUGCCAAUAUGCCACGCUGCCCACGGUCUGCCUGUCCACCUCUGGCAAUGUUAUGUUAGAAGUAAAGAGACAUCCACCUUCAUUAAGCCACUGCAUUUCAGGUCUCUUUAUUAUGGCAGCAAAUCAUGGCCCCAAAGGAUGCACUGUGAUUGGACAUUCACCUGUGGCUCUAACACAGCGACACCUCUGCUGGUUCUGCCUGCUCAGCCCCAUCCUUCCACCAAGGUGUUGUUCCCACCCAGCCCCGAGGUUCUGUGAGGUGAUGCACACACCCUUCCCAGGCACAGGCAGGUGGCCCAGGUCUGAGUGGUCAUGGCUCCCCAUCCUGUUCAGGGUUAUAAGUUCACGGGUUGGACAUGAGUCCAACUGUAGUCCUCCCAUUAGACUCCCAGUAUGGUGAGAGAGAGUCUUUGUAAUUAUUGUGCAUUGUGGCGGGAGAGGGAAACCAACCCCAAGCAGAACCAGAGGCGAUCAGAGAGAGGGGAGGAGGAAGCUCGACAAUGGCGUCUCAGCCCCUGGGUCUAGCUGUACCCGCAGCACCUUUAGAUGUAAGUGAUCCACGAUUGUGAGCUGAAUUUCUGUCACUUGCAACCCAGAGUCCCAUCUCUUUCCCCAAGAAUAAAAUAAACAUGUUUGGGAGUGAUUUUAUAUAA